AAGCAUUGAUUCAUUUGUCUUUGGAAACUGAAUGUAUUUCUUGUUGAUUUAAAAAUAUCAACAGUUUUUAAUAUUUAAAUCUAUAAAUAAGUUUAUACUUCAUAAUUUGACUUCCUGUUGUACCUGUAAUUAGGUAUACACACAUUCAGUUUACCUUUAAAUCUAUUGUAGGUAAGGUGAAUACCACACAACAAUGCUGUCAGAUGUUUGCUAAUUUGAUUUGCUUAUGUCAUUAAAACCUAUUGAACUUUUGACAUCAAGCUAUUUUCUUUGUUUAUGUUUGUUUUUAUUUCUUGACAUUAUCCCAAUUAGGUAUCUUAACAUUUUAUUGUUGAUCAGAAAACAAUUAUACUUAAAACUUGGCAAAGAAUAUUUUAUUAAAAUUUCAAAGUUAAUAAAAGAAAUGCAAGCUGUUAUAGUAGCAUUAGCUAAAGUUAAGAUCACGGGUCAAAUUCGUCAUAUUUGAUUUAUAAUGUACUAAAAUGUAUAUCCAAAUUAUAAAAGUCUUAAAUAUAAUCAAUUAACAAGGCAUUUUAUCAAUAAAAUGUUUAAGCAUUUCAUGUGUAUUUUAGUCUAAAGACGCCAUCUAAUUAACCAUCAAGCUGACCUCCAAAGAUUGCAUAUUUAAAUUGCAAUGAUAAAUAUGGAUAUAUGGUAGAUAGAUUUAGAGCACAGUCUAUUGGAUUUAAUUACAAAACUUCAAUGAUAUUUAACCUAGUCUUAUCCAACUAACACGCAGUCUUCUUGCUUAACCAACGACCCUCCAGGCCAGGCUUUUACAAUUUCUUUCUGGUCUUUUAUAAACUUUUCUACAAGCCAACAUGAUCCAACUUGAAUUUUAGUAAAAUUGAGCUUGGUACCUGUGGAUUCAAAAGUUUAAUUAUCAUGAAGACUGAACAUGUUAUUUAUCGUAAACUGGUAGUUCUAGGUGAGAUUGGGAUAUCUAUUUGAAAUAUGAUAGGAGUCAAAUUGUGAUGGUUUUCUGGCUUAAAUGUUUUGCAAUUUUCUUUGUUAAAGUUCAAUAUAUAGUGCUAUACUUAUACUACUACUAGUUAGUUUUGUUGAUUUUUUAGAGUAUAUCAAACGCAAAUUUUAUCUAAGAAAAAAUGUACUUUUUGUUGACAUAUAUUAGAAAGUAAUUACUGUAGAAACAAUAAUU
This 1159-nucleotide long non-coding RNA is filed under the name Mytilus galloprovincialis (Mediterranean mussel). Lineage: Eukaryota; Metazoa; Mollusca; Bivalvia; Mytilida; Mytilidae. The record is from RNAcentral.